This 501-nucleotide ribosomal RNA is filed under the name uncultured bacterium. Its description in RNAcentral is "partial 16S ribosomal RNA". It matches the Rfam family "Bacterial small subunit ribosomal RNA", at positions 29 to 523 of the family's 1533-position model. The record is from RNAcentral.
AUUGAACGCUGGCGGCAUGCCUUACACAUGCAAGUCGAUCGGCAGCACGGGUGCUUGCACCUGGUGGCGAGUGGCGAACGGGUGAGUAAUACAUCGGAACGUACCUUAUCUUGGGGGAUAACGGAGCGAAAGCUGUGCUAAUACUGCAUACGCCCUGAGGGGGAAAGCGGGGGACUGCAAGACCUCGCGCGACUAGAGAGGCCGGUGCCUGAUUCGCUUGUUGGUGGGGUAAAAGCCCACCAAGGCGACGAUCAGUAGCUGGUCUGAGAGGGCGAUCGGCCUCACUGGGAGUGAGACACGGCCCAGACUCCUACGGGAGGCAGCAGUGGGGAAUUUUGGACAAUGGGGGCAACCCUGAUCGAGCAAUGCCGCGUGGGUGAAGAAGGCCUUCGGGUUGUAAAGCUCUCUUGUCAGGUAAGAAACACCGGCUCUAACACAGUCCGGGAAUGACGGUACCUGAAGAAUUAGCACCGGCUGACUACGUGCCAGCCGCCGCCGUAA